ACUCAAAGGAAUAGACGGGGGCCCGCACAAGCGGCGGAGCAUGUUGCUUAAUUCGACGCAACGCGAAGAACCUUACCAAGGCUUGACAUGCAGGGAAAAGCCGUGGAGACACGGUGUCCGUAAGGGUCCUGCACAGGUGGUGCAUGGCUGUCGUCAGCUCGUGUCGUGAGAUGUUGGGUUAAGUCCCGCAACGAGCGCAACCCUUAUCCUAUGUUGCCAGCGGAUAAUGCCGGGGACUCAUGGGAGACUGCCGGGGUCAACUCGGAGGAAGGUGGGGAUGAGGUCAAGUCAUCAUGCCCCUUAUGUCUUGGGCUGCAAACAUGCUACAAUGGCCGGUACAGAGGGCUGCGAGACCGUAAGGUGGAGCGAAUCUCAAAAAGCCGGUCUCAGUUCGGAUUGGGGUCUGCAACUCGACCCCAUGAAGUCGGAGUCGCUAGUAAUCGCGAAUCAGCAACGUCGCGGUGAAUACGUUCCCGGGCCUUGUACACACCGCCCGU
This 497-nucleotide ribosomal RNA is filed under the name uncultured bacterium. Its description in RNAcentral is "partial 16S ribosomal RNA". It matches the Rfam family "Bacterial small subunit ribosomal RNA", at positions 899 to 1397 of the family's 1533-position model. The record is from RNAcentral.